GAAAUGCGAUAAGUAAUGUGAAUUGCAGAAUUCAGUGAAUCAUCGAAUCUUUGAACGCACCUUGCGCUCCUUGGUAUUCCUUGGAGCAUGCCUGUUUGGGUAUCAUGAAAUCUUCAAAGUAAAUCUUUUGUUAACUCAAUUGGUUUCUACUUUGGUAUUGGAGGUCUUUGCAGCUUCACACCUGCUCCUCUUUGUUCAUUAGCUGGAUCUCAGUGUUAUGCUUGGUUCCACACGGCGUGAUAAGUUAUCUAUCGCUGAGGACACUGUAAAAGGUGGCCAAGGUAAAUGCAGAUGAACCGCUUCUAAUAGUCCAUUGACUUGGACAAUACUUUUAUGAUCUGAUCUCAAAUCAGGUAGGACUACCCGCUGAACUUAAGC
RNAcentral lists this unclassified non-coding RNA (378 nucleotides) under plant metagenome. RNAcentral's name for it is "partial contains 5.8S ribosomal RNA, internal transcribed spacer 2, and large subunit ribosomal RNA". The stretch from base 1 to 105 matches the Rfam family "5.8S ribosomal RNA", at positions 50 to 154 of the family's 154-position model. The record is from RNAcentral.